CUAUUAUUCAAAGCUAAUCGCUGAUCUCCUAAGAUCUACGGAUAUCAGCGAGCAUUAUAUAGUUGGCCGCCACCACGCACUACGGCCGCCUGUAAUGCCGUUGUGCUUUGUCCAUCCUCGUUAAUUCUGGGGUGUUCUGCGUCCUUCUAUCGCCACGUAGCUACCCCCCAACAUAGACACCUCCGUUGUGUCUAUUACACCUCAGAAGCAACUCGACAUAGCAAAAUUCUCCUCUCAAUUACUUCUAUACCUAUUCUUCUGACUUCAAGAAAGAUAUCAAGUCACAAUGGCUACAGAUUUGAAAAGCAAAGCAUACUUUGAGCAUAAAAUAAUGACUGGGGAAAGCCUUUUAAAAAAUUGAAUCAUUUCAUGAAUAUUGCGCAAUUUUUGAAAUGAGAAUGGUGGUCCAUUCCCCAGAAAGCAUCCGGAUUGAAUUAUAUGGUUUUACUGUAUUCAAAGAUUCAUAAUUGGGAGUAUAUUGAUGGGCUAAUGAUGAGACAGCAGUCAGUGAGGAUGACUUUGUGGACGACAAACAAUAGCCAUAGUAGAGCUCAGAAAGGUGUUUUAAAUGUUAGAGAAGGGAUGAAUCAUGUACAGUACAAAAUGUCAAUGAAGGAGAAAAAGAGGUG
This 629-nucleotide small RNA is filed under the name Histoplasma capsulatum. Its description in RNAcentral is "hypothetical RNA". Lineage: Eukaryota; Fungi; Ascomycota; Eurotiomycetes; Onygenales; Ajellomycetaceae. The record is from RNAcentral. RNAcentral also lists the same sequence under 1 other name.